AUAUAUUUGUUCUAGAAAAAAAAAAAAGUACUUACAAGAAGAGAAGAUAAUUAGAUGAGAAGCUGAAAGGAUGAAUAUUUCAUGGCAAGAUAAGAUUUCAGAAUUCGAUAAACUUAUUG
Molecule: non-coding RNA, 119 nt
Filed under: Chattonella subsalsa
Lineage: Eukaryota; Raphidophyceae; Chattonellales; Chattonellaceae
Source: RNAcentral